Molecule: ribosomal RNA, 478 nt
Filed under: uncultured bacterium
Lineage: Bacteria
Description: partial 16S ribosomal RNA
Rfam family: Bacterial small subunit ribosomal RNA
Source: RNAcentral
GAUGAACGCUGGCGGCGUGCUUAACACAUGCAAGUCGAACGAGAAGUGAAGACGGAAACCUUCGGGCGGAAGGCUUUAUUUCGAGUGGCGGACGGGUGAGUAACGCGUCGGUAACCUGCCUCAUACAGGGGGAUAACAGUUGGAAACGACUGUUAAUACCGCAUAAGACCACAGCACCGCAUGGUGCGGGGGUAAAAACUCCGGUGGUAUGAGAUGGACCCGCGUUCGAUUAGCCAGUUGGCGGGGUAACGGCCCACCAAAGCGACGAUCGAUAGCCGAUCUGAGAGGAUGACCGGCCACAUUGGGACUGAGACACGGCCCAAACUCCUACGGGAGGCAGCAGUGGGGAAUAUUGCACAAUGGGGGAAACCCUGAUGCAGCGACGCCGCGUGAGUGAAGAAGUAUUUCGGUAUGUAAAGCUCUAUCAGCAGGGAAGAAAAUGACGGUACCUGAGGAAGAAGCCCCGGCUAACUACGUG